GGCGGCGUGCUUAACACAUGCGAGUCGAGCGAAGCACUUAUGAAAGAUUCUUCGGAUGAUUUCCUAUUUGACUGAGCGGCGGACGGGUGAGUAACGCGUGGGUAACCUGCCUCAUACAGGGGGAUAACAGUUAGAAAUGACUGCUAAUACCGCAUAAGACCACCGCACCGCAUGGUGCAGGGGUAAAAACUCCGGUGGUAUGAGAUGGACCCGCGUCUGAUUAGUUAGUUGGUGGGGUAACGGCCUACCAAGGCGGCGAUCAGUAGCCGACCUGAAAGGGUGACCGGCCACAUUGGGACUGAGACACGGCCCAAACUCCUACGGGAGGCAGCAGUGGGGAAUAUUGCACAAUGGGGGAAACCCUGAUGCAUCGACGCCGCGUGAGCGAAGAAGUAUUUCGGUAUGUAAAGCUCUAUCAGCAGGGAAGAAAAUGACGGUACCUGACUAAGAAGCCCCGGCUAACUACGUGCCACCAGCCGCGGUAAUACGUAGGGGGCAAGCGUUAUCCGGAUUUACUGGGUGUAAAGGGAGCGUAGACGGAGCAGCAAGUCUGAUGUGAAAACCCGGGGCUCAACCCCGGGACUGCAUUGGAAACUGUUGAUCUGGAGUGCCGGAGAGGUAAGCGGAAUUCCUAGUGUAGCGGUGAAAUGCGUAGAUAUUAGGAGGAACACCAGUGGCGAAGGCGGCUUACUGGACGGUAACUGACGUUGAGGCUCGAAAGCGUGGGGAGCAAACAGGAUUAUAUACCCUGGUAGUCCACGCCGUAAACGAUGAGUAUUUGGUGUCGGGUGGCAAAACCAUUCGGUGCUGCAGCCAACGCAAUAAGUAGUCCAUCUGGGGAGUACGUUCGCAAGAAUGAAACUCAAAGGAAUUGACGGGGACCCGCACAAGCGGUGGAGCAUGUGGUUUAAUUAGAAGCAACGCGAAGAAUUUUUCCUGCUCUUGACAUCCCGGUGACGGCAGAGUAAUGUAUGCUUUUUUUUGGAACACCGGUGACAGGGUGGUGCAUGGUUGUCGUCAGCUCGUGUCGUGAGAUGUUGGGUUAAGUCCCGCAACGAGCGCAACCCCUAUCUUCAGUAGCCAGCGGUAAGGCCGGGCACUCUGGAGAGACUGCCAGGGAUAACCUGGAGGAAGGUGGGGAGGAUGUCAAAUCAUCAUGCCCCUUAUGAGCAGGGCUACACACGUGCUACAAUGGUGUAAACAAAGGGAAGCGAACCCGCGAGGGUGGGCAAAUCCCAAAAAUAACGUCUCAGUUCGGAUUGUAGUUUGCAACUUGAGUACAUGAAGCUGGAAUCGGUAGUAAUCGCGAAUCAGAAUGUCGCGGUGAAUACGUUCCCGGGUCUUGUACACACCGCCCGUCACACCAUGGGAGUCAGUAACGCCCGAAGUCAGUGACCCAACCGUAAGGAGGGAGCUGCCGAAGGUGGGA
This 1429-nucleotide ribosomal RNA is filed under the name uncultured organism. Its description in RNAcentral is "SSU rRNA". It matches the Rfam family "Bacterial small subunit ribosomal RNA". The record is from RNAcentral.